UCCUAAGCAUGAAGGAGGACCACAUGAGGAUCCUGGACACCUACUGCAUGAAUGUAUUCACCCUUUCAGGUCUAGGGACCUGGGUACCUUGGGACAGAGGGAGUGCAGAGCAGAGAAAACCUACCUGUGCAACUGAGAAGGCCGCUCAGGCCACGGGGACAGGGCAGGAAUGCUCUCAGGAGUGUCCCCUGCACCUGAACUUGAUUUCACGCCAUCACCUUCCGCCUCUUAACCAGCAUCUCCUGGACAGUCAGCCGAGUGUUUCCAUGAUACCAGCCAUACCUGAUGCCAGGAGACUCGCUACACUUGGAAGCUCUUCAAGGUUUAACAUCCUCCCAGGAUGUCAACUGGAAGAUCAUGCCGUUCCUGACAAUUAGAAGUUUAGAGAGUGAGGUGGCUGGAGAUACAGCACGUUGAUUAUCUGUGACACAAUCAGUCAGAAGCAGGACCACAUGAAUUCUCCAUCAUCAAACAAAAUGACUGGCUUUCUGUGUGAUUCUUCACACUGUGAAUGCAGCUACUAAUAACACUGAUUUUACUUCAGGCAAGAGAAACAGAGCCUCUCAUUUUCCUUUGAGAAUAAUGAUUGUUUCUUAAUACUUUUCUUUUUCCCCAUUCCUUACAGAGGAGUUCCCUGCUCAAGGGAAGCACAUGGUAGGGUUAAUGCUACAUGGAACAUGAACUUUGAAGAUCCUCAUUUUGGUUUCCAUGAAGGUGGUGAAGGUUCUCCAAAUAAAAGCAUUUCCAAUAAGGGUGAAGAGUAGAGAGCAGUGAUGUUUCCAAAAAGUUUAGAAUUCCUCCUUCAAAUGACUUCCUAAUGAAUAUCAGAAGGCAAUGUGUGGAGUCACAAGUCAUUGGAAUGGCAGCCACUGUGUAAUUUCAACAAAACGCUUCAUCCCUCUGAGCCUCUGGUGGCUCAUCUGUAAAUUAAGGCAAAUUCUAUCUUCAAAUUUCUUCACUCUUUGAUCAACAACUUUUAUUCAACUUUGUUGAAAAGAUCAAAAAAAUUGCAUCUCUGGUUGAAUUUGGUGGCUCUUUUUCUGGUUAAUAUAAAACGUGACUGUC
This 1065-nucleotide long non-coding RNA is filed under the name Homo sapiens (human). Its description in RNAcentral is "non-protein coding lnc-FRG1-11:10". The record is from RNAcentral. Lineage: Eukaryota; Metazoa; Chordata; Mammalia; Primates; Hominidae.